This 400-nucleotide unclassified non-coding RNA is filed under the name uncultured fungus. RNAcentral's name for it is "sequence contains ITS1". The stretch from base 1 to 106 matches the Rfam family "5.8S ribosomal RNA", at positions 50 to 154 of the family's 154-position model. Lineage: Eukaryota; Fungi. The record is from RNAcentral.
GAAAUGCGAUAAGUAAUGUGAAUUGCAGAAUUCAGUGAAUCAUCGAAUCUUUGAACGCACCUUGCGCUUUCGGGUAACCCCCGGGAGCAUGCCUGUUCGAGUAUCGCAAAGUCUUCACUAUACAGAAUUAGUGUGUUUACUCGUAAACCAUUAGUUUUGCAUUGGUGGAUUUGAGCAUUCUCUCAGUUUAUUUGUUUAAGCUGAGUUGCUUUAAAGUAAUCUUGCUUUUUCUUAGUCAUCUUUAAGACUUGCAAAGCCGAAAAGCGUAACCAAAAGGCUUUUACUAGCUUUUACUUCGCUAACUAGGCUUUACUUAUGCAGUUUUAAACUACAGAUAGCUAUGUAAAAAAUGCAUCAAAACUUACAACCCUUUGCAACGUGGUCUCGAAUCAGGUAAGAC